Molecule: ribosomal RNA, 265 nt
Filed under: uncultured bacterium
Lineage: Bacteria
Description: partial 16S ribosomal RNA
Source: RNAcentral
CUGCUGCCUCCCGUAGGAGUCUGGUCCGUGUCUCAGUACCAGUGUGGGGGACCUUCCUCUCAGAACCCCUACGCAUCGUCGCCACGGCGGGCCGUUACCCCGCCGUCUAGCUAAUGCGCCGCAUGCCCAUCCUCUUCCGAUGAAUCUUUCCUCGAUCUCGGAUGCCCGAAACCGAUAUACGCGGGAUUAGCCUCCCUUUCGGAAGGUUGUCCCCCUGAAGAGGGCAGGUUGCAUACGUGUUACUCACCCGUGCGCCGGUCGCCGG